CCUACGGGAGGCAGCAGUAGGGAAUAUUGCUCAAUGGGGGAAACCCUGAAGCAGCAACGCCGCGUGGAGGAUGAAGGUUUUCGGAUUGUAAACUCCUUUUGUUAGAGAAGAUAAUGACGGUAUCUAACGAAUAAGCACCGGCUAACUCCGUGCCAGAAGCCGCGGUAUUACGGAGGUUGCAAGAGUUACUAGGAAUCACUGGGCGUAAAGAGCGCGUAGGCGGGAUAGCAAGUCAGAUGUGAAAUCCUAUGGCUUAACCAUAGAACUGCAUUUGAAACUGUUAUUCUUGAGUAUGGGAGAGGUAGGUGGAAUUCUUGGUGUAGGGGUAAAAUCCGUAGAGAUCAAGAGGAAUACUCAUUGCGAAGGCGACCUGCUAGAACAUAACUGACGCUGAUGCGCGAAAGCGUGGGGAGCAAACAGGAUUAGAUACCCGGGUAGUC
This 440-nucleotide ribosomal RNA is filed under the name uncultured bacterium. RNAcentral describes it as "partial 16S ribosomal RNA". It matches the Rfam family "Bacterial small subunit ribosomal RNA", at positions 338 to 795 of the family's 1533-position model. The record is from RNAcentral.